GAUGAACGCUGGCGGCGUGCCUAAUACAUGCAAGUCGAGCGAACAGACGAGGAGCUUGCUCCUUUGACGUUAGCGGCGGACGGGUGAGUAACACGUGGAUAACCUACCUAUAAGACUGGGAUAACUUCGGGAAACCGGAGCUAAUACCGGAUAACAUGUUGAACCGCAUGGUUCAACAGUGAAAGACGGUCUUGCUGUCACUUAUAGAUGGAUCCGCGCCGCAUUAGCUAGUUGGUAAGGUAACGGCUUACCAAGGCAACGAUGCGUAGCCGACCUGAGAGGGUGAUCGGCCACACUGGAACUGAGACACGGUCCAGACUCCUACGGGAGGCAGCAGUAGGGAAUCUUCCGCAAUGGGCGAAAGCCUGACGGAGCAACGCCGCGUGAGUGAAGAAGGUCUUCGGAUCGUAAAACUCUGUUAUUAGGGAAGAACAAAUGUGUAAGUAACUAUGCACGUCUUGACGGUACCUAAUCAGAAAGCCACGGCUAACUACGUGCCAGCAGCCGCGGUAAUACGUAGGUGGCAAGCGUUAUCCGGAAUUAUUGGGCGUAAAGCGCGCGUAGGCGGUUUUUUAAGUCUGAUGUGAAAGCCCACGGCUCAACCGUGGAGGGUCAUUGGAAACUGGAAAACUUGAGUGCAGAAGAGGAAAGUGGAAUUCCAUGUGUAGCGGUGAAAUGCGCAGAGAUAUGGAGGAACACCAGUGGCGAAAGCGACUUUCUGGUCUGUAACUGACGCUGAUGUGCGAAAGCGUGGGGAUCAAACAGG
RNAcentral lists this ribosomal RNA (766 nucleotides) under Staphylococcus epidermidis. RNAcentral describes it as "bacterial SSU rRNA". It matches the Rfam family "Bacterial small subunit ribosomal RNA", at positions 28 to 776 of the family's 1533-position model. The record is from RNAcentral. Lineage: Bacteria; Bacillati; Bacillota; Bacilli; Caryophanales; Staphylococcaceae.